GACGAACGCUGGCGGCGUGCUUAACACAUGCAAGUCGAACGAAGAGCGAUGGACGCUUGCUUCUAUCAAUCUUAGUGGCGAACGGGUGAGUAACGCGUAAUCAACCUGCCCUUCAGAGGGGGACAACAGUUGGAAACGACUGCUAAUACCGCAUACGAUCUAACCUCGGCAUCGCGGAUAGAUGAAAGGUGGCCUCUACAUGUAAGCUAUCACUGAAGGAGGGGCUUGCGUCUGAUUAGCUAGUUGGGGGGGUAACGGCCCACCAAGGCGAUGAUCAGUAGCCGGUCUGAGAGGAGGAACGGCCAAAUUGGGACGGAGACACGGCCCAGACUCCUACGGGAGGCAGCAGUGGGGAAUCUUCCGCGAUGGACGAAAGUCUGACGGAGCAACGCCGCGUGAGUGAUGACUGCCGUCGGGUUGUGAAGGUCUGUUAAUCGGGACGAAAGGCCUUCUUGCGAAUAGUGAGAAGGAUUGACGGUACCGGAAUAGAAAGCCACGGCCAACUACGUG
Molecule: ribosomal RNA, 510 nt
Filed under: uncultured bacterium
Lineage: Bacteria
Description: partial 16S ribosomal RNA
Rfam family: Bacterial small subunit ribosomal RNA
Source: RNAcentral